CUGAGUCACAUUCCCUUCGGAGCUAAGAUUGCUGGGGAGUUGGGAACUGAGGAAGUGGGGCUGGGGAGCUAACACCAACAACUUAUUUUUGGGACAUAACAUGAACUGCUGAUUCUGAUAACCACUAAUUUUUUGUGGCAUCUCCUGAAAAUUUAUAAUGAUGUGGCGAGGAAGCUUGCAGAGAAAGGGUUAAUCCCUGCUGACUGUCGUCGGGGGAAUGUUUGCCGUGUAAACUGCACCAUCCUUAGCACCCUCCAGCCCCCAACUCGUGGCUGAGGUUCUCAGCCACACACCUUGUUGCACUUCACACAGUGGUAGGUCUCCAUGUCUGAGGAGUACCGCAUGCUGUAAUCCAGAGGGGGCUCGGCGCUUGGCAGGAGAUGGCUUCCAUACAGGCUGACGGGGUGCUCCAGGAGGGCUGACUGCAUGGUGGAAGACAUCUGUCUGUAGCUGUAUGGCAGCUGGAAAGCAUCCCAAGAAAAGCCGGUUUUGUAGAAGACAGCACUGGGCUGCUGAAGGACAGCAUCCACGUGUCAUCCAAACCAUCGUGUGCACCAGAGAAGCACUGCAAAUGGCCAAAGGAUGAUGUGAGGAACUGACACUGGAAAGUCACUUCCAUUCUUUUAUCAAGCAUAUCAUAGGGCUGGACUCUAGUUCCACAGCCAGAGCUAGAACAAAGGCCAGCUGCGCUACACCGG
This 698-nucleotide long non-coding RNA is filed under the name Gallus gallus (chicken). The record is from RNAcentral. Lineage: Eukaryota; Metazoa; Chordata; Aves; Galliformes; Phasianidae.